GCCGGGGUGCCCGAGCGGUCUAAGGGGGCGGCCUGGAGAGCCGUUGGGGGUUUCCCCGCGCGGGUUCAAGUCCCGCCCCCGGCG
RNAcentral lists this transfer RNA (84 nucleotides) under Sulfurisphaera ohwakuensis. RNAcentral's name for it is "tRNA-Ser". It matches the Rfam family "tRNA". Rfam says of the family: Transfer RNA (tRNA) molecules are approximately 80 nucleotides in length. Their secondary structure includes four short double-helical elements and three loops (D, anti-codon, and T loops). The record is from RNAcentral. Lineage: Archaea; Thermoproteati; Thermoproteota; Thermoprotei; Sulfolobales; Sulfolobaceae. RNAcentral also lists the same sequence under 2 other names.